GGGGUGCAACACGAGGACUUCCCAGGAGGUCACCCAUCCUAGUACUACUCUCGCCCAAGCACGCUUAACUGGGGAGUUCUGAUGGGAUCCGGUGCAUUAGUGCUGGUAUGAUCGCACCC
This 119-nucleotide ribosomal RNA is filed under the name Arabis alpina (gray rockcress). RNAcentral describes it as "rRNA ENSRNAG00050207383". Lineage: Eukaryota; Viridiplantae; Streptophyta; Magnoliopsida; Brassicales; Brassicaceae. The record is from RNAcentral.